Molecule: ribosomal RNA, 460 nt
Filed under: uncultured bacterium
Lineage: Bacteria
Description: partial 16S ribosomal RNA
Rfam family: Bacterial small subunit ribosomal RNA
Source: RNAcentral
CCUACGGGAGGCAGCAGUGAGGAAUAUUGGUCAAUGGACGAGAGUCUGAACCAGCCAAGUAGCGUGAAGGAUGACUGCCCUAUGGGUUGUAAACUUCUUUUAUAUGGGAAUAAAAUGUUACACGUGUGGGAUUUUGUAUGUACCAUAUGAAUAAGGAUCGGCUAACUCCGUGCCAGCAGCCGCGGUAAUACGGAGGAUCCGAGCGUUAUCCGGAUUUAUUGGGUUUAAAGGGAGCGUAGGUGGAUUGUUAAGUCAGUUGUGAAAGUUUGCGGCUCAACCGUAAAAUUGCAGUUGAAACUGGCAGUCUUGAGUACAGUAGAGGUGGGCGGAAUGCGUGGUGUAGCGGUGAAAUGCUUAGAUAUCACGAAGAACUCCGAUUGCGAAGGCAGUUCACUGGACUGCAACUGACACUGAGGCUCGAAAGUGUGGGUAUCAAACAGGAUUAGAUACCCCUGUAGUC